This 490-nucleotide ribosomal RNA is filed under the name uncultured bacterium. Its description in RNAcentral is "partial 16S ribosomal RNA". It matches the Rfam family "Bacterial small subunit ribosomal RNA", at positions 30 to 507 of the family's 1533-position model. The record is from RNAcentral.
AUUGAACGCUGGCGGCAGGCCUAACACAUGCAAGUCGAACGGUAACAGGAAACAGCUUGCUGUUUCGCUGACGAGUGGCGGACGGGUGAGUAAUGUCUGGGAAACUGCCUGAUGGAGGGGGAUAACUACUGGAAACGGUAGCUAAUACCGCAUAACGUCGCAAGACCAAAGAGGGGGACCCUCGGGCCUCUUGCCAUCGGAUGUGCCCAGAUGGGAUUAGCUUGUUGGUGGGGUAACGGCUCACCAAGGCGACGAUCCCUAGCUGGUCUGAGAGGAUGACCAGCCACACUGGAACUGAGACACGGUCCAGACUCCUACGGGAGGCAGCAGUGGGGAAUAUUGCACAAUGGGCGCAAGCCUGAUGCAGCCAUGCCGCGUGUAUGAAGAAGGCCUUCGGGUUGUAAAGUACUUUCAGCGGGGAGGAAGGGAGUAAAGUUAAUACCUUUGCCCAUUGACGUUACCCGCAGAAGAAGCACCGGCUAACUCCGUG